RNAcentral lists this ribosomal RNA (397 nucleotides) under uncultured bacterium. RNAcentral describes it as "partial 16S ribosomal RNA". It matches the Rfam family "Bacterial small subunit ribosomal RNA", at positions 523 to 918 of the family's 1533-position model. The record is from RNAcentral.
AUACGUAGGGGGCGAGCGUUGUCCGGAAUGAUUGGGCGUAAAGGGCGCGUAGGCGGCUUUGCAAGUCAGUAGUGGAAGUCCAUUUUUCAAGGAUGGAAGAGCUACAGAAACUGCGGAGCUUGCGUGCAGGAGAGGUUAUCGGAAUUCCCGGUGUAGCGGUGAAAUGCGUAGAGAUCGGGAGGAACACCAGUGGCGAAGGCGGGUAACUGGACUGCAACUGUCGCUGAGUCGCGAAAGUGUGGUGAGCAAACAGGAUUAGAUACCCGGGUAGUCCACACUGUAAACGAAGAAUGCUAUGUGUAGGAGGUAUCUACUCCUUCUGUGCCGCAGUAAACACAGUAAGCAUUCCGCCUGGGGAGUACGGUCGCAAGAUUAAAACUCAAAUGAAUUGACGGGG